RNAcentral lists this transfer RNA (71 nucleotides) under Albula goreensis. It matches the Rfam family "tRNA". Rfam says of the family: Transfer RNA (tRNA) molecules are approximately 80 nucleotides in length. Their secondary structure includes four short double-helical elements and three loops (D, anti-codon, and T loops). Further hydrogen bonds mediate the characteristic L-shaped molecular structure. tRNAs have two regions of fundamental functional importance: the anti-codon, which is responsible for specific mRNA codon recognition, and the 3' end, to which the tRNAs corresponding amino acid is attached (by aminoacyl-tRNA synthetases). tRNAs cope with the degeneracy of the genetic code in two manners: having more than one tRNA (with a specific anti-codon) for a particular amino acid; and 'wobble' base-pairing, i.e. permitting non-standard base-pairing at the 3rd anti-codon position. Lineage: Eukaryota; Metazoa; Chordata; Actinopteri; Albuliformes; Albulidae. The record is from Rfam by way of RNAcentral.
GCAUUGGUGGGUCAAUGGUAGAAUUCUCGCCUGCCACGCGGGAGAUCCGGGUUAGAUUCCCGGCCAAUGCA